Molecule: ribosomal RNA, 3525 nt
Filed under: Triticum aestivum (bread wheat)
Lineage: Eukaryota; Viridiplantae; Streptophyta; Magnoliopsida; Poales; Poaceae
Description: partial small subunit ribosomal RNA
Source: RNAcentral
AUGGCGGACCUCGCGGUGGGCUUGGCCAAAUCGGUGGUGGAGGGGGCGUUGACCAAGGCCCAGUCGGCCAUCGAGGAGGACUCCAAGCUGCGGCAGAGCGCGCAGCGCGACCUCGUGUUCAUCACUGGCGAGUUCCAGAUGAUGCAGUCCUUUCUGAAGCUCGCCGACGACGAGCGCACCAGGAACAUCGUGGUCAGGACCUGGGUGCGGCAGAUCCGGGAGCUCGCCUACGACGUGGAGGACUGCAUCGAGUUCGUCCUCCACCUCGACAAGAAGUCCCAGUGGUGGCGCCGCCUGCUCCCGCCCUUCGUGUCGGCCGCCAGGCAGCCGCUCGACGAGGCCAUCGCCGAGAUACGGCAGCUCAAGAUCCGGGUGGAGGACGUGAGCUCCAGGAACGCGCGCUACAGCCUCAUCAGCGACUCCGGCUCCAAGCCCGUCGUCGUGCAUCAGCAGCCGCCGUCGGCCGCCCGCGCCGCGAUGGGCGCCACGGCGUUCCACAUGCUCGUCGAGGCGACGGACAUCACGAAGCGGCAGCAUGGGGAUCUCACCCAGCUCAUCACCAAGAAAGACGGCGGCCUCCAGGUGGUCUCCGUGUGGGGGACGGGCGGCGACCUCGGGACGACGUCCAUCAUCAGGAAGGCCUACAGCGACCCGGAGAGCUGCCAGAACUUCGCCUGCCGCGCGUGGGUGAAGCUUGCGCAUCCUUUCAAUCCCCACGACUUCAUCCGGGGAUUGACGGCGCAGUUCUACGCAAACACUUGCCAAGAGUUACACGAAGAGGCACUCAGAGGCGUCCUGACGAGGUCGGAGGCCACCCAAGACGAUUACCUCAAGGAGUUCGUGCGGCAAGUCAAUGAUGUGAGGUAUCUCAUCGUCUUGGAAGACCUGUCCACCAUGGCUGAGUGGGAUGCUAUCAGGACUUUUCUUCCUGACAAGAAGAAUGGCAGCUGGAUCAUCGUGUCCACGCAGCAGUUUGAAAUUGCAAGCUUGUGCGUGGGUCAUUCGUACCAAGUAUUGGAGCUGAAGCAGUUCUCUGCUGACCACUCGGUUUAUGCCUUCAGAGAGGGAUCUCAAGGUGAUAGAGAGAAAGCAGAGGAGAGACCAGCAGAGCAAGGAGUGAGCUCUGAAAAUAUACUCACCUGUAAAAAUAGUGCAGCCACCGAAUGGAUGCAAGAGUACCCGAUCAUUGGACGUGAGUCAGAAAUGAAUGAGCUUCGUCAACAUACAACAUUUGCACGUUUUCACUCUUUUCAAGUUAUAUCUGUUUGGGGAAUAGCUGGUGUUGGGAAAUCAGCUCUCGUAAGAAACUUGUUCUGUGAUAGAAUUCUUGCCAAUGGCCUAUUUGUUAAGUAUGGUUGGGUGGAUGUAUCUCAUCCAUUCAAUUUAAGGGACUUCUCUCGGAGCUUACUUUUGGGUUUUCAUUCUGAAUCACUUCAAGCCAAUGAGACUAUUAACCGUGGAACGAUCAGAUUCGAAAACCCCAUUCAAGAGUGUCGUGAUCUUCUGGAACACCAUCAUUGCCUUGUUGUUAUUGAUGAUCUGCAGUCCAAGAAAGAAUGGGACUUGAUAAAAGCUGCCUUAUUGCCUAGAUCCUCUAAAAAAAGUGUUAUCAUUGCCAUUACGUCAGAAGCAAGCAUUGCCACAUGUUGCGCGGACAAGGAAGAGCUCAUAUUUAAUGUCAAAGGUCUUCAAGCUGAUGCAGCGUCUAGUCUCUUCCACCAAGAGGUACAAAGGAAGAACCCAGACUCCUCUCUGAAGGAUCUCAGAGAAGAAGAAGCAGCUAAACUACAUGAACUUAUUCUCAAGUGUGGCGGGCUUCCACAAGUAAUAGUUGAAAUAGCUGGCAUAUUGGCAAAGAAGACUGUCACACUAAUGGAUACGGUAGGUUCUACCAAUGACAGGUUCAUGCACACAUUGGAGAACAAUCCAGAGUACGACAGUCUACAGGGCCUAUUCAGUUGGAUGUAUUCCUACUUCCGCAGUUGCCCAGAUUCCCUUAAGCCAUGCAUCUUCUACAUGUCACUUUUCCCCCGAGAUCAGAGCCCCCGGCGGAGACGUGUUGUGAGGAGGUGGGUCGCGGAGGGCUACUCCAGGGACAGCGAAGACAAUUCUGCAGAGCAAAAUGGGGAGAAGUUCUUCUCCAAUCUCCUUGACCUGAGUAUUAUCCAGCAUCCACCUCAGUUAGUCACCGCUACUUCAGGAGAUAGAAGGAUGAUCUCGUGCCGCGUCAAUGGUUUCAUCCGGGAGUACAUCGUCUCGCGGCGGAUGGAAGAGAACCUUGUCUUUGAGCUGGAGGGUUGUUGUGAGAUAACCACACAACGCACGGGACGUCACCUUAUCAUAAGGGAGAGCUGGGACAGAGACAAGAUUGUGUUCGAGAGCAUGGACUUCUCCAAGCUACGGUCACUGACGGUGUUUGGGAAGUGGAGACAAUUUUUCGUCUCUGAAAGCAUGAAGCUGCUCCGGGUGCUCGACCUGGAGGAUUCAUUGGAUGUACAGGAUGCCGAUCUCGAGAAGAUGCUAAAGCUGCUGCGUCGUCUCAAGUUCCUCUCGCUGCGAGGAUGCCGUGAGAUUCACCAUUUGCCAAGUUCAGUAGGUGAUCUGAGGCAGCUCCAGACUCUGGAUAUCAGACACACAUUGAUUGUGAACCUACCAGGGAACAUCAAAAAGCUACAGAAGCUGCAGUACAUCCGUGCCGGCACCUCUAUCCAGGCACAGGAAUCAUCAACACCAUGUCUUUCAGUACCAAAGUUCUGCGGACGUCACCGCCAAUUUGGUGUUGUGGUUCCUAGAGGGAUUAACAAACUGACAACGUUGCACACAUUCGGUGUUGUCAACAUUGGUGCAUCAGGCGGGAAAGCCAUCCUUAAAGAGCUCAAAGAUCUGACUCAAUUGCGCAAGCUCGGAGUGUCUGGCAUCAACAGGAGAAACAGCAAGAAGUUCUCCUCUGCAAUCUCACGCCAUGUCCAUUUGGAAUCCUUGUCGGUGCAGCUGGACAAGGGCAGUCAAAGUUGUUUGUCUGGCAUCGUCCUGCCUUUGAAGACGCUGCAGAGUUUUAAACUGCAUGGGCCUGUGGAGAAGUUGCCAGUUUUGAAGAUCGACGAGCUUAGCAUGCUGAUAAAGUUGGAUUUGGAGAUGACCAUAUUGACAGAGGAUGACAUAAAGCUCAUUGGGAGUCUAUCCAAACUAUUCACUCUCCGUAUCAAGCUGCUCCAAGAUAGUAAGGUCCAUUUUUGUGUUAAAGAGGCUGGACUUGAGGUGCCAACUUACCAAAUGGUCAAGGUCCUAGACAUCGGUUUCAACUCAAACUUCGAAGUUACUUUUGGGACAAACACAAUGAGAAGUCUUGAGCUGAUAAAGGCUCACUGCUGCAAUGGUUCUUCAGUGAAGUUCUCCGGCCUGAAUAACGUAACUGAACUCAAGGUACUCUUGCUGAAGGGUUGCUGUGACAACGCACUGAAGGAAGAGCUGGAGAGCCAACUUGCCCAGCAUCCAAACGAACCAGUUUUGGAGCAGGAGGAAUAG